GAUCAACGCUGGCGGCGUGCUUAACACAUGCAAGUCGAACGAAGUUUUUCUUUCGGGAGGAACUUAGUGGCGGACGGGUGAGUAACGCGUGGGUAACCUGCCCUGUACAGGGGGACAACAGCUGGAAACGGCUGCUAAUACCGCAUAAGCCCUUAGCACUGCAUGGUGCAUAGGGAAAAGGAGCAAUCCGGUACAGGAUGGACCCGCGUCUGAUUAGCCAGUUGGCAGGGUAACGGCCUACCAAAGCGAUGAUCAGAAGCCGAUCUGAGAGGAUGUACGGCCACAUUGGGACUGAGACACGGCCCAGACUCCUACGGGAGGCAGCAGUGGGGAAUAUUGCACAAUGGAGGAAACUCUGAUGCAGCGACGCCGCGUGAGUGAAGAAGUAUUUCGGUAUGUAAAGCUCUAUCAGCAGGGAAGAAAAUGACGGUACCUGAAGAAGAAGCACCGGCUAAAUACGUG
This 462-nucleotide ribosomal RNA is filed under the name uncultured bacterium. Its description in RNAcentral is "partial 16S ribosomal RNA". It matches the Rfam family "Bacterial small subunit ribosomal RNA", at positions 28 to 507 of the family's 1533-position model. The record is from RNAcentral.